UUGGUUCCGGCAUCGAUGAAGAACGCAGCGAAAUGCGAUACGUAAUGUGAAUUGCAAAUUCAGUGAAUCAUCGAGUCUUUGAACGCACAUUGCGCCCCCUGGUAUUCCGGGGGGCAUGCCUGUCCGAGCGUCAUUGCUGCCCUCAAGCACGGCUUGUG
RNAcentral lists this ribosomal RNA (158 nucleotides) under Penicillium sp. SS8. RNAcentral describes it as "5.8S ribosomal RNA". The stretch from base 1 to 133 matches the Rfam family "5.8S ribosomal RNA", at positions 21 to 154 of the family's 154-position model. From Rfam's summary of the family: 5.8S ribosomal RNA (5.8S rRNA) is a component of the large subunit of the eukaryotic ribosome. It is transcribed by RNA polymerase I as part of the 45S precursor that also contains 18S and 28S rRNA. Lineage: Eukaryota; Fungi; Ascomycota; Eurotiomycetes; Eurotiales; Aspergillaceae. The record is from RNAcentral.